AGGGGGCAACUCCUUCCAGUCGAGUGGCGGACGGGUGAGUAACACGUGGGUAACCUGCCCGGAAGUGUGGAAUACCUCGGGGAAACUCGAGCUAAUACCGCAUGACAUCUUCGGGACGAAAGUCCUGACGAUCAAAGCGGGGUCGCAAGAUCUCGCGCUACCGGAUGGGCCCGCGCCCGAUUAGCUAGUUGGUGGGGUAACGGCUCACCAAGGCUUCGAUCGGUAACCGGCCUGAGAGGGCGAUCGGUCACACCGGAACUGAGACACGGUCCGGACUCCUACGGGAGGCAGCAGUGGGGAAUCUUGCGCAAUGGGCGAAAGCCUGACGCAGCAACGCCGCGUGGAGGAUGAAGGCCCUUGGGUUGUAAACUCCUGUCGGCUGGGAAGAAAUCGUGCGGUGCUCAUACCACCGUACGUUGACUGUACCAGCAAAGGAAGCCCCGGCUAACUCUGUGCCAGCAGCCGCGGUAAUACAGAGGGGGCUAGCGUUAUUCGGAAUUAUUGGGCGUAAAGGGCGCGUAGGCGGCCAUGCGUGUCUUCCGUGAAAUCCCUCGGCUUAACUGAGGACGUGCGGAAGAAACUGCAAGGCUCGAGUCCGGGAGAGGGGGGUGGAAUUCCCAGUGUAGCGGUGAAAUGCGUAGAUAUUGGGAGGAACACCGGUGGCGA
Molecule: ribosomal RNA, 666 nt
Filed under: uncultured Acidobacteriota bacterium
Lineage: Bacteria; Pseudomonadati; Acidobacteriota
Description: bacterial SSU rRNA
Rfam family: Bacterial small subunit ribosomal RNA
Source: RNAcentral